CGGACGGGUGAGUAACACGUGGAUAACCUACCUAUAAGACUGGGAUAACUUCGGGAAACCGGAGCUAAUACCGGAUAAUAUUUUGAACCGCAUGGUUCAAAAGUGAAAGACGGUCUUGCUGUCACUUAUAGAUGGAUCCGCGCUGCAUUAGCUAGUUGGUAAGGUAACGGCUUACCAAGGCAACGAUGCGUAGCCGACCUGAGAGGGUGAUCGGCCACACUGGAACUGAGACACGGUCCAG
Molecule: ribosomal RNA, 241 nt
Filed under: uncultured Staphylococcus sp.
Lineage: Bacteria; Bacillati; Bacillota; Bacilli; Caryophanales; Staphylococcaceae
Description: partial 16S ribosomal RNA
Rfam family: Bacterial small subunit ribosomal RNA
Source: RNAcentral